This is a non-coding RNA of Schistosoma haematobium, 43 nucleotides long. The record is from Rfam. Lineage: Eukaryota; Metazoa; Platyhelminthes; Trematoda; Strigeidida; Schistosomatidae.
UCUCAGCUGACGAGUCCCAAACAGGACGAGACGAGCCCUGAAU